RNAcentral lists this transfer RNA (85 nucleotides) under Felis catus (domestic cat). It matches the Rfam family "tRNA". Rfam says of the family: Transfer RNA (tRNA) molecules are approximately 80 nucleotides in length. Their secondary structure includes four short double-helical elements and three loops (D, anti-codon, and T loops). RNAcentral also lists the same sequence under 2 other names. Lineage: Eukaryota; Metazoa; Chordata; Mammalia; Carnivora; Felidae. The record is from Rfam by way of RNAcentral.
GCUUGGUUGGCUCAGUCGGUUAAGCGUCUGAUUUUGGUUCAGGUCAGGAUCUCAUGGUUCGUGGGUUCGAGCCCCGUGUCGGGCU